RNAcentral lists this long non-coding RNA (727 nucleotides) under Anas platyrhynchos platyrhynchos (common mallard). RNAcentral's name for it is "lncRNA (ENSAPLG00000022952.1)". Lineage: Eukaryota; Metazoa; Chordata; Aves; Anseriformes; Anatidae. The record is from RNAcentral.
UUGUGCCCCCCCCCAGCGAGGUGCAGCUGACGGAGGAGGCGGUGCGGCGCUACCUGACGCGGAAGCCGAUGACCACCAAGGAUUUGCUGAAGAAGUUCCAGACGCGGCGCACGGGGCUGAGCAGCGAGCAGACCGUCAACGCCCUCGCCCAGCUCCUCAAGCGCCUCAACCCCGAGCGCAAGGUGAUCGGCGACAAGAUGCACUUCUUCCUCAAGGAGUAGGGCCGGGGGGGGCAGGGGGGGGGCACCCCAAAAGAGGGGGAGACACCCCAGAGAGGGGAAGCACCCCAAAAGUGGGAGAGCGCCCCACAAAUUGUGAGUCUUCCCAUUAUUGGGCUCCUCUCACUGGGAUUCCCUUUCUGGGAGCUCCUCCUUUAACUGGGGUCCCCCCCCCCCAAAGUGAGAGACCCCCCCACAAAUCAGGAGACAGACCCCAAAGUGGGAGAGCACUCCAAAAGUGGGAGAGCCCCCCCACAAAUUGGGAGGAUUCCCUGUAUUGGGAUCCCCGCCUCUUUAUUGGGCUCCUUGUUGGGCUCCUCUCACUGGGAUUCCCUUACUGGGAGCUCCUCCUUUAACUGGGAUCCCCUCUCAAAUUGGGAGACCCCCCAAAAGUGGGAGAGCCCCCCUCAAAUCAGGAGACAGCCCCCAAAGUGGGAAACCCCCCAAAAAUGGGAGGACUCCCUUUACUGGGAUCCCCUCCUCUUUAUUGGGAUCCUUCUUGUUGGGCU